Molecule: ribosomal RNA, 247 nt
Filed under: uncultured bacterium
Lineage: Bacteria
Description: partial 16S ribosomal RNA
Rfam family: Bacterial small subunit ribosomal RNA
Source: RNAcentral
AUACGUAGGGGGCGAGCGUUGUCCGGAAUGAUUGGGCGUAAAGGGCGCGUAGGCGGCCUGGUAAGUCUGGAGUGAAAGUCCUGCUUUUAAGGUGGGAAUUGCUUUGGAUACUGCUGGGCUUGAGUGCAGGAGAGGAAAGCGGAAUUACCGGUGUAGCGGUGAAAUGCGUAGAGAUCACGCAGAACUCCGAUUGCGAAGGCAGCUUACUAAGCUACAACUGACACUGAAGCACGAAAGCGUGGGGAUC